CAGCCGCCGCGGUAAAACGGAGGAUCCAAGCGUUAUCCGGAAUCAUUGGGUUUAAAGGGUCCGUAGGCGGUCUUGUAAGUCAGUGGUGAAAGCCCAUCGCUCAACGGUGGAACGGCCAUUGAUACUGCAGGACUUGAAUUAUUGGGAAGUAACUAGAAUAUGUAGUGUAGCGGUGAAAUGCUUAGAGAUUACAUGGAAUACCAAUUGCGAAGGCAGGUUACUACCAAUUGAUUGACGCUGAUGGACGAAAGCGUGGGUAGCGAACAGGAUUAGAUACCCCGGUAGUCCCUGUCUCUUAUAC
This 301-nucleotide ribosomal RNA is filed under the name uncultured bacterium. RNAcentral describes it as "partial 16S ribosomal RNA". It matches the Rfam family "Bacterial small subunit ribosomal RNA", at positions 509 to 807 of the family's 1533-position model. The record is from RNAcentral.